UUUUGUAUGUGUCAUGACUGGCUGAUCAUUGAAAAUAAGUAGCCAGCAGAAACAUCAACAGUUGAGGCAAACUUGGGUGAGCUCCAAAUUGGCAUAUUGUUAUCAUAUGCAUAUCAUAUGCAUUAUCGUAUGCAUAUUGAAUAAUAGUGCUUGCUAUGAUCAAGGAAGUGGGAAUUUCAGUCGAGAGCUGUAAAAAUAUAUAAGAACCGAAUGAAAGUCUGUUACAGAUCUGUGUUGCACACUAACAGAAGUUAAGAACUCAAUGGAUGAUUUUAUCAAGAGAUUAAGUGAAAGCGGAGAGAGAAGUAGUGAACUGGAAGAUAGAUCAGAAGAUAAUACACAGACUAAACCCCUGGAAAGACACAACAAUAAUACAGAAGAGAGGGAAAGACGCAGAGAGGCUGGAGUGAGAUGGCCUAAGAUCCACAGUCAGGGCCACAGUAAUAAAGGGCAGAGAAAUAAAAGAUAGAAGUAGAAAAGAACUUUGCAAAACGAAUGAAAGACAUUAAGCCACAGAUUCAGGAAGCCCUAUGAACCUAGAUAAGAUAAAUAAAAAUUCCACACCUGUUCUUACGCCAGCCAAUUUCUGAACACCUAGGAGAGAACCUUAAAAAGCAGCCAGAGGAAACAAGGCAUUAUGAUCACAAGAGUAAUAGUUAUAUUGACCACUAACUUCUUAAAAACAGUGGAUGCCGGAAGACAGUGGAAUGAUAACUUUAAAUGCUAAAGGAAAUAAUUGUCAACCUAAACUUGACAAGUGAAACUCUUUCAAGAAUGAAGGUUUCAAGUAAAGAGGGUGUUCUUCAGGCAGAAGGCAAAUGAUCUAGAGGGGAGGUCAGAGAUACAGAAAAGAAGGAAGAACAUUGAAAAUGAUAAUAUUUGGAUGUUCUAAAAGUUCUUUGAUUGGCCACCAAGAGGAUGAAACUAUCUAUGAAUGUUAGGUUUUGAUAAAUCAAGGAGGGAUGCUGUAAUCUCUAGGAUAAUCACUAAAGGAUAGAAAGAUGAUUCUCGGGGCGCCUGGGUGGCUCAG
Molecule: long non-coding RNA, 1030 nt
Organism: Herpailurus yagouaroundi (jaguarundi)
Lineage: Eukaryota; Metazoa; Chordata; Mammalia; Carnivora; Felidae
Exons: 3
Source: RefSeq, a predicted model, not a curated record